This is a non-coding RNA of Gemmatimonadetes bacterium 13_1_40CM_4_69_5, 83 nucleotides long. The record is from Rfam. NCBI's taxonomy places the organism in Bacteria, Pseudomonadati, Gemmatimonadota.
UCUGUCUAAGGGCAAACCGCCGGCGACGGCGGGACGCAAAGCCAAGGGUCUCGGGUCCCAUGCGAGAUAGCCUGGCCGCCAGA